CCCAACCCCUGUGACAUACCAAUUGUUGCCUCGGCGGAUCAGCCCGCUCCCGGUAAAACGGGACGGCCCGCCAGAGGACCCCUAAACUCUGUUUCUAUAUGUAACUUCUGAGUAAAACCAUAAAUAAAUCAAAACUUUCAACAACGGAUCUCUUGGUUCUGGCAUCGAUGAAGAACGCAGCAAAAUGCGAUAAGUAAUGUGAAUUGCAGAAUUCAGUGAAUCAUCGAAUCUUUGAACGCACAUUGCGCCCGCCAGUAUUCUGGCGGGCAUGCCUGUUCGAGCGUCAUUUCAACCCUCAAGCCCCCGGGUUUGGUGUUGGGGAUCGGCGAGCCCUUGCGGCAAGCCGGCCCCGAAAUCUAGUGGCGGUCUCGCUGCAGCUUCCAUUGCGUAGUAGUAAAACCCUCGCAACUGGUACGCGGCGCGGCCAAGCCGUUAAACCCCCAACUUCUGAAUGUUGACCUCGGAUCAGGUAGGAAUACCCGCUGAACUUAAGCAUAUCAAUAAAACG
This 508-nucleotide ribosomal RNA is filed under the name Fusarium oxysporum f. sp. lentis. Its description in RNAcentral is "eukaryotic LSU rRNA". The stretch from base 133 to 286 matches the Rfam family "5.8S ribosomal RNA". Lineage: Eukaryota; Fungi; Ascomycota; Sordariomycetes; Hypocreales; Nectriaceae. The record is from RNAcentral.